Molecule: long non-coding RNA, 354 nt
Filed under: Physcomitrium patens
Lineage: Eukaryota; Viridiplantae; Streptophyta; Bryopsida; Funariales; Funariaceae
Description: long non-coding RNA (PPAT_LNC012850)
Source: RNAcentral
UUAGCAUGUAUUAAGAUUUCUAAGAUAUUUUAAAAAAAAUACAUAUACUCUUUAAAAAUAUUGAUUUUAUGAUUAUUCAAUUGAUUUGCAAGAAAGAAUUCAACCACCAUUUGGACAAAUCUAAAACUUAUUGCAAAAUGAAUUGGCUACUUUAAGAGAGUAUAUUAACGUGAACUUGGCUAAAAACUUUGUAUGCCAUUCAAAAUCUCUAACAAAAGCUUCAAUCUUAUUUGUGGAAAAAAAAUAGAUCUUACUUUGAUUUUAGAACUUCUUGACUAAGUCAAUGAAAUAAAGGUCUAUACAAAAAUAGAUCUAUAGAAAGCAUUCAACUUGAUCUACUUCAAAAAAAGAGAU